Molecule: long non-coding RNA, 1010 nt
Filed under: Oncorhynchus mykiss (rainbow trout)
Lineage: Eukaryota; Metazoa; Chordata; Actinopteri; Salmoniformes; Salmonidae
Description: lncRNA (ENSOMYG00000062524.1)
Source: RNAcentral
AUUGUCUUCAUUGAUCAUACAUUUAUUUACAACAGGGUUCAUAAAAUAAAUUAUUAACAAAAACGCCAAACGUAUAGGUGUGUGUGUGUGUGUGUGUGUGUGUGUGUGUGUGUGUGUGUGUGUGUGUGUGUGUGUGUGUCUACUCACACAAAACAUGCCUACUGUAUGAGACAGUAUAUCCACACACAUACUACUUUAUACAGUGUCAUGAAUUUAGUUUGGUGUUAUGAAUUGCAUUUUGGCAACAAGGGUAGUAGACAGGGAGGUUCGUGUAAUAAGACUGUAAUAAGUAUGUAAUUGCAUUGAGGAAAUGUGUUUUUGAAGGAAAAAUGAAAGGACGGAAGGAAGGAGAGAAAGAGGAGAAGGAAAGAAAAAUGGUUAGAAAUGCUAAAAGAAAGACAGAGAAUGGCAGCACACCACCUGGCAUUAUGUUAAAGGUUACCAUAGAAGAAGUUGAAAGUCAGACAGCCAUGCCAACAACAGUGGUUGGCUAUACAAAGUCAUGGCAGGUUUUUUCACCUGAUUUGGAAAUGCAGCUUGUUCAGUAUAUUACCGGGUCAGCUGACAUUUAUUUUGGUCUGUCGCCAAGUGAGGUCAGAAAACUUGCCUACCAGUUUGCUGUGGCACACCAGCUGAAGUUCGCGCCAAUGUGGGCAGAAAAAGAAAAGGCCAGCUCGGAGUGGUUUACAGGCUUCUUAAAGCGGCACCCAACGCCGUCGCUGAGAAAGCCAGAGGCAACUAGCCUUGUCAGGGCAAGUAGCUUCAACAGAGAACAUUUUAACGCUUUCUUCGACAAUGUAGCAGAAGUGCUACAGAGAUAUCAAUUCGGAUCAGGAGACAUAUGGAAUGUCGAUGAAACUGGGGUGACCACAGUACAUAAACCUGACAAAGUGGUGGGCAGACUGAAAGGGGAACCCUCUUCACACUGGCCUUUGCUGUCUCUGCCACAGGGAAUAGUAUAUCUCCAUAUUUUAUAUUCCCCCUGUCAACUUCGCAAUCAUUUCUUGAUC